RNAcentral lists this ribosomal RNA (408 nucleotides) under uncultured bacterium. RNAcentral's name for it is "partial 16S ribosomal RNA". It matches the Rfam family "Bacterial small subunit ribosomal RNA", at positions 29 to 526 of the family's 1533-position model. The record is from RNAcentral.
AGUGAACGCUGGCGGCGUGCCUAAUACAUGCAAGUCGAACGAAGUGGCGCACGGGUGAGUAAUAUAUAGUUAAACUGCCCUACACAGAGGAACAACAGUUGGGAACGACUGCUAAAACCUCAUAGUGUGGGAUGAGACUAUAUCGUAUCAGCUAGUUGGUAAGGUAAUGGCUUACCAAGGCUAUGACGCGUAACUGGUCGGAGAGGAUGAUCAGCCACAUUGGAAGUGAGGCACGGUUCAAACAUCUACGGCAAGCAGCAGAAGGGAAUAUUGCGAAAGGCGCGAAAGCCAGACGGAGCUACGGCUCGUAAAGGAUGACUCUUUUCGGAGCGUAAACUCGUUUGAUCAUGAAAGCGGUACCUAAUGAGUAAGCACCGGCUAACUCCGUGCCAGCAGCCGCGGUAAUAC